GGGUCAGUAGGUUGGUCGUGCCACCGGUACGUACUGGUCUCACUGAUUCCUCCUUCCUGAAGAACCGUAAUGCCAUUAAUUUGGUGUUGCGGGGAAACAGGACUGUUACUUUGAAAAAAUUAGAGUGUUUAACGCAAGCUAGCGCUUGAAUACAUUAGCAUGGAAUAAUGAAAUAGGACGAUCGAUCCUAUUUUGUUGGUUUCUAGGAUUGACGUA
This 216-nucleotide ribosomal RNA is filed under the name Glomeromycotina sp. Its description in RNAcentral is "partial small subunit ribosomal RNA". The stretch from base 40 to 216 matches the Rfam family "Eukaryotic small subunit ribosomal RNA", at positions 686 to 864 of the family's 1831-position model. The record is from RNAcentral. Lineage: Eukaryota; Fungi; Glomeromycota.